UGAAGAGGUCCACUACACUCC
RNAcentral lists this non-coding RNA (21 nucleotides) under Arabidopsis thaliana (thale cress). The record is from RNAcentral. Lineage: Eukaryota; Viridiplantae; Streptophyta; Magnoliopsida; Brassicales; Brassicaceae.